ACCCGAGGCCGGGCCGGAGCCGCAGGCCAGCCGCGAUUCCUUCGGGCGAUGCUGGGGGCUUUCCGGUCGGGGCCGCAGCCGCUUCCGGAGCCGCGGGCGAGGUGCGUUCCCCAGCCUGGUUUGCUCUGGGCUCUGACCCGCCGCCGCGAAUCUCCGCUCGUAACUCCGGGCCUGAACCUGGAGGAGGGAGGAUUUCCUCUGUGCAGCUUUCGAGCGGUAGACUCACCCUGCCAGGCAGACCUAGAUUGGCAUAACCAGAGAUCAGUUCCAGUUGUGAUGCAGUGGGUGUCUACACACUUCUGAUGACACCUUUAUUUUAAAAGCUGAUGUUCCAAGAUCAUUACAACCUGUGGUUCCAAUUAAAGAUUUUAAAGAGAAGAGUUUAAUCCUGCAACAAUUGGUUAGCCCUUCUUAAUUUAGAGGUACCUUUACAAGUUCUUGAUCACCAAGUCGAUUCACCAUGAUCUUGGCUGGCUGUCUUCUUC
This 485-nucleotide long non-coding RNA is filed under the name Homo sapiens (human). RNAcentral's name for it is "non-protein coding LINC01184:16". Lineage: Eukaryota; Metazoa; Chordata; Mammalia; Primates; Hominidae. The record is from RNAcentral.